CCUACGGGGUGCUGCAGUGGGGAAUAUUGGACAAUGGGCGAAAGCCUGAUCCAGCCAUGCCGCGUGUGUGAAGAAGGCCUUCGGGUUGUAAAGCACUUUCAGUGGGGAAGAAAGCCUUGGGGCUAAUACCCUCGAGGAAGGACAUCACCCACAGAAGAAGCACCGGCUAACUCCGUGCCAGCAGCCGCGGUAAUACGGAGGGUGCGAGCGUUAAUCGGAAUUACGGGGCGUAAAGCGCGCGUAGGCGGUCUGAUAAGCCGGUUGUGAAAGCCCCGGGCUCAACCUGGGAACGGCAUCCGGAACUGUCAGGCUAGAGUGCAGGAGAGGAAGGUAGAAUUCCCGGUGUAGCGGUGAAAUGCGUAGAGAUCGGGAGGAAUACCAGUGGCGAAGGCGGCCUUCUGGACUGACACUGACGCUGAGGUGCGAAAGCGUGGGUAGCAAACAGGAUUAGAUACCCUAGUAGUC
This 465-nucleotide ribosomal RNA is filed under the name Vreelandella stevensii. RNAcentral's name for it is "partial 16S ribosomal RNA". It matches the Rfam family "Bacterial small subunit ribosomal RNA", at positions 338 to 795 of the family's 1533-position model. Lineage: Bacteria; Pseudomonadati; Pseudomonadota; Gammaproteobacteria; Oceanospirillales; Halomonadaceae. The record is from RNAcentral.